UGCUCAUCAACUAAUAACAUCUCAACGCUCAUCUGCUGUCCCCUUUUGUUGAUGUUUUUCGCCUCCCAGAACCUCAAGAGGCGGACCUCCGCCGUGUUGAAACAUCUCCCGGCCCUCAAAUCAGCAAGAACAGUGUACGAAUUAGCCAUCUGAAUCGGUCGCUUGGAAAUCGAAUGUUUUGAGUUGGAGUUUCAGAUUUGGUGUUUGAGCUGAGGUUUUCAUGAUAGGAGUAUAGCUGCAGAUCCAGGCAGUUUUAGAGCUAACGAAAAGUCUCGCCGAAAACUCAAUGAAAGAGGAGUGGAGUAAUCAAGGAAAAAAGUAAAAUAAAUUACAUAUUAAAGGAGAUAUGAGACGUUACGGUUAGGAAAGGGAGUGGGUUGUGUCGGUGAAACUUUGUGAUGUCAAGAAUCCCCUGAAGAAGAAGAACACAGAAGAACCCUAAAUCUACGCUGGCUAUAAACGACCCUGAUCAUCUGGGCCUAAGACUGGGCUAUUUAUAAAACACACACUAAACCCACAUCACAAAAGAAGCUCAAAGCCACUUGAGUGAAACUCACUUACGCAAAAAAAAAACAACGGACAAUAAAGCACGCGCACAUCAAAGCAUAACGCGUGAGACACACUGCCUACCUACCAGGUCGACACGUAGCGAAAAACGCCGCUCCCUGUUUGCUGAGCUGGAUAGCCUAAGGAGAGAGAUAACUCUCCUUUUUAUAUAUAGAUAUUAUAUCUCUCUUAAACGGGCGAACACAAUUCUAGUUUUUUUAUCUUAAUUUAAAGUCUCUAAUAUAUAUCUAGCUUCUUUACUCAAACAUAUCUAAUCUAUUAAAAUAGAAGUCAAAUAUAAACUAACCUAAAGACUUACAAAUUAUUUACAAGUGACUGUCACUGAAGUAAUUAAUAAACAAAUCUUUUAAUUAUUCUUUAUCUUUUCAAAAUCAAUUUGCUAAAACAACUAUAACUAAAUAGGAUUCGGCUACAAUAAUUAUAAAUUGCUAGCUUGUAUUUUACCAGAAUGUUUUAAAUUCAAUUUGAAUAUCCCUUUUUGGCAAACUACUAAAUAUCGCUAUUCCAGAUAAUUGGUUGAGAUCUCCUUCUUCAGCUACAUACUCGUGAAACACAUACACACGCAUAUUUUUUUAUCUAUGUUUUCGUAUGACAAAUAAUCAAAUGCAAAUUCAAUAAGAUAAAGAUAUUAUAAAAAUGAAUAAUACAAUUGAUGGUUUGGAAAAUAAAUUAAUUAAUCCAUAUAAACUAUAAAAUUGUUGUGUUUCAUAUUAAAAACAAUUUAAUAUAUGUAAUGUUAAAAAUAUACACUAGCAACUAUAUAAAACAAAUACUAAUCGAUAUAAAUUAAAUCAAACACCCGCACGGGUGUGCGGAUCCAACUCUAGUUCAUCUUUAUGUUUCAUGUAUUCCUCAUAAUUAUCUUGUUUUGCAUGUAUUUUAUUUUCAUUGUUUGAUCUUUCCCUCCCAAAAUUAAGAUUUAGAUAUAUAGAUUAUAGAUGUAGUUUUUAUUAUUAUUUUAGCUGAAAAAUAUAGUUCUAAACAAUCUUUUAAGAAUGGAUGCUGCAUUUAAUGUUUUAAGAUACACAAAUUUAUCUGAUCUUCAAAGCUUUCAAAUCUUAACCAGAUACAACAGACUUCAUUAGCAUACUCAGUUUGUCGUCCAAAAUGCAUAAUGCCCUAACUGGUAAGUUUCAUUCUUCACUUUAAAUUUGUUUAAAUUUGUGUUACAAUUAUAUUUCCUUUUAUUGCAUAUCUGUAAUUUUUGUAUAUAAAUUUUAAUCAUAUCUUAAAAUUUAGUUUCAAAUGAAAUAUUUGUUCUUGUGUUUUGUGUUUUCUAUAUAUAUUUCACGUCAUCAAAACAUUUAGUCUUGAACCCGCAAUAAUAUACUUCAUUAGCAUAAUUUAUUUGCAGAAUUUACUAGGAUAGUUUAUUUAAGUCAUCAAGAUUACGGAAAAUAUAGCAAACUCCAUCCAAAUAUUUUAACAUCAAUUUUUUUUUGUAACAAAUUCUCAUUAUAAAUAUUUGAUUACAAGUUAUUUUGAAUUUAACUUGUAUGUGCUUUUAAAUAUUGACUUGUAACUUUUUAGGCUACUAGAAUAAAUUUGCAAAAGGCUAGUCGUGGUUGUCGUGACAUACCUAUUAGAAUUGGUAUGUAGUAUUAGAAUUGAAUUGUGACAUGUAGUAUUAGAAUUGAAUUACAGUAUGAUUUAUAGUUCGAUGUAACUUGCAGUAAAAAAUAUGUGGUAAAAAUAGUAAGUUUAUGUGGUAAGUUUUACAGUAAAAAUAAAAGUUAUCAUUUUAUUAAAACUUAUGACUGGUAACAUUUUUGAUGUAUAAGUUGCAGUAUGAGUUCUGAAUAAAAGAAUUAAAUAUAUAAAUUGAUAAAUAGAAUUUUUUUAUUAAGCUCUUUUUAAAAUUUAAGUGAGCUCAACAAAGACGGUAUGUUCGGUGAACCUAAUAGACACAAGAGAAUCCCCAAACUUGAAGCUCGGGUUGCUUCUUGCCACAUCGAAAACACUUAGCUCAUAAGCAGAGCCUUCUUGCAAGACAUGUCUGAAGGUGUUUAGCCGGUGAACGCUGAUCGACCCUUGUAAUAAGCGUAGCCUGCGAAUGGAGAGGAUGAAUCAGAGUAAACAAAAUUGCGUCUCUCUAUAACUGUAAUUAAUAAGUUGUAUAGCCGCAGGAACAGACCCGACUGUUCAUAUGAAGAAAAGGCAAAAAUUAAGAACAAUUAACAAAUCAUGAAAUACUUAUUACGUGAUUGUAAAAUUUAAAGAAUUUUCUAAAUAUCAAGAGAUUGAACCGAGAAGAUAAUUAUAAUAGUGGCAAAAGAUACUUACAUGCUCAUCAACUAAUAACAUCUCAACGCUCAUCUGCUGUCCCCUUUUGUUGAUGUUUUUCGCCUCCCAGAACCUCAAGAGGCGGACCUCCGCCGUGUUGAAACAUCUCCCGGCCCUCAAAUCAGCAAGAACAGUGUACGAAUUAGCCAUCUGAAUCGGUCGCUUGGAAAUCGAAUGUUUUGAGUUGGAGUUUCAGAUUUGGUGUUUGAGCUGAGGUUUUCAUGAUAGGAGUAUAGCUGCAGAUCCAGGCAGUUUUAGAGCUAACGAAAAGUCUCGCCGAAAACUCAAUGAAAGAGGAGUGGAGUAAUCAAGGAAAAAAGUAAAAUAAAUUACAUAUUAAAGGAGAUAUGAGACGUUACGGUUAGGAAAGGGAGUGGGUUGUGUCGGUGAAACUUUGUGAUGUCAAGAAUCCCCUGAAGAAGAAGAACACAGAAGAACCCUAAAUCUACGCUGGCUA
This 3307-nucleotide long non-coding RNA is filed under the name Brassica napus (rape). Its description in RNAcentral is "long non-coding RNA (BNAP_LNC000410)". The record is from RNAcentral. Lineage: Eukaryota; Viridiplantae; Streptophyta; Magnoliopsida; Brassicales; Brassicaceae.